This 1642-nucleotide ribosomal RNA is filed under the name Escherichia coli. Its description in RNAcentral is "partial 23S ribosomal RNA". It matches the Rfam family "Bacterial large subunit ribosomal RNA", at positions 397 to 2025 of the family's 2925-position model. Lineage: Bacteria; Pseudomonadati; Pseudomonadota; Gammaproteobacteria; Enterobacterales; Enterobacteriaceae. The record is from RNAcentral.
CUGUGAGCUCGAUGAGUAGGGCGGGACACGUGGUAUCCUGUCUGAAUAUGGGGGGACCAUCCUCCAAGGCUAAAUACUCCUGACUGACCGAUAGUGAACCAGUACCGUGAGGGAAAGGCGAAAAGAACCCCGGCGAGGGGAGUGAAAAAGAACCUGAAACCGUGUACGUACAAGCAGUGGGAGCACGCUUCGGCGUGUGACUGCGUACCUUUUGUAUAAUGGGUCAGCGACUUAUAUUCUGUAGCAAGGUUAACCGAAUAGGGGAGCCGAAGGGAAACCGAGUCUUAACUGGGCGUUAAGUUGCAGGGUAUAGACCCGAAACCCGGUGAUCUAGCCAUGGGCAGGUUGAAGGUUGGGUAACACUAACUGGAGGACCGAACCGACUAAUGUUGAAAAAUUAGCGGAUGACUUGUGGCUGGGGGUGAAAGGCCAAUCAAACCGGGAGAUAGCUGGUUCUCCCCGAAAGCUAUUUAGGUAGCGCCUCGUGAAUUCAUCUCCGGGGGUAGAGCACUGUUUCGGCAAGGGGGUCAUCCCGACUUACCAACCCGAUGCAAACUGCGAAUACCGGAGAAUGUUAUCACGGGAGACACACGGCGGGUGCUAACGUCCGUCGUGAAGAGGGAAACAACCCAGACCGCCAGCUAAGGUCCCAAAGUCAUGGUUAAGUGGGAAACGAUGUGGGAAGGCCCAGACAGCCAGGAUGUUGGCUUAGAAGCAGCCAUCAUUUAAAGAAAGCGUAAUAGCUCACUGGUCGAGUCGGCCUGCGCGGAAGAUGUAACGGGGCUAAACCAUGCACCGAAGCUGCGGCAGCGACACUAUGUGUUGUUGGGUAGGGGAGCGUUCUGUAAGCCUGUGAAGGUGUACUGUGAGGUAUGCUGGAGGUAUCAGAAGUGCGAAUGCUGACAUAAGUAACGAUAAAGCGGGUGAAAAGCCCGCUCGCCGGAAGACCAAGGGUUCCUGUCCAACGUUAAUCGGGGCAGGGUGAGUCGACCCCUAAGGCGAGGCCGAAAGGCGUAGUCGAUGGGAAACAGGUUAAUAUUCCUGUACUUGGUGUUACUGCGAAGGGGGGACGGAGAAGGCUAUGUUGGCCGGGCGACGGUUGUCCCGGUUUAAGCGUGUAGGCUGGUUUUCCAGGCAAAUCCGGAAAAUCAAGGCUGAGGCGUGAUGACGAGGCACUACGGUGCUGAAGCAACAAAUGCCCUGCUUCCAGGAAAAGCCUCUAAGCAUCAGGUAACAUCAAAUCGUACCCCAAACCGACACAGGUGGUCAGGUAGAGAAUACCAAGGCGCUUGAGAGAACUCGGGUGAAGGAACUAGGCAAAAUGGUGCCGUAACUUCGGGAGAAGGCACGCUGAUAUGUAGGUGAAGCGACUUGCUCGUGGAGCUGAAAUCAGUCGAAGAUACCAGCUGGCUGCAACUGUUUAUUAAAAACACAGCACUGUGCAAACACGAAAGUGGACGUAUACGGUGUGACGCCUGCCCGGUGCCGGAAGGUUAAUUGAUGGGGUUAGCGCAAGCGAAGCUCUUGAUCGAAGCCCCGGUAAACGGCGGCCGUAACUAUAACGGUCCUAAGGUAGCGAAAUUCCUUGUCGGGUAAGUUCCGACCUGCACGAAUGGCGUAAUGAUGGCCAGGCUGUCUCCAC